CCUACGGGAGGCAGCAGUGAGGAAUAUUGGUCAAUGGUCGGGAGACUGAACCAGCCAAGCCGCGUGAGGGAGGAAGGUACAGAGUAUCGUAAACCUCUUUUGUCAGGGAACAAAGGCGGGGACGUGUCCCCGGAUGAGUGUACCUGAAGAAAAAGCAUCGGCUAACUCCGUGCCAGCAGCCGCGGUAAUACGGAGGAUGCGAGCGUUCUCCGGAUUUAUUGGGUUUAAAGGGUGCGCAGGCGGUCUGUUAAGUCAGCGGUCAAAGCCCGGUGCUCAACCCCGGCCCGCCGUUGAAACUGGCAGUCUCGAGUUGGAGAGAAGUAUGCGGAAUGCGCGGUGGAGCGGUGAAAGGCAUAGAUAUCGCGCAGAACUCCGAUUGCGAAGGCAGCAUGCCGGCUCCACACUGACGCUGAGGCACGAAAGCGUGGGUAUCGAACAGGAUUAGAUACCCUUGUAGUC
RNAcentral lists this ribosomal RNA (459 nucleotides) under uncultured bacterium. RNAcentral's name for it is "partial 16S ribosomal RNA". It matches the Rfam family "Bacterial small subunit ribosomal RNA", at positions 338 to 795 of the family's 1533-position model. The record is from RNAcentral.